Molecule: ribosomal RNA, 433 nt
Filed under: uncultured bacterium
Lineage: Bacteria
Description: partial 16S ribosomal RNA
Rfam family: Bacterial small subunit ribosomal RNA
Source: RNAcentral
AACGAACGCUGGCGGCAGGCCUAACACAUGCAAGUCGAGCGAGCAUUUCGGUGCUAGCGGCGGACGGGUGAGUAACGCGUGGGAACGUGCCCUUUUCUGCGGAAUAGUCCUGGGAAACUGGGGGUAAUACCGCAUACGCCCUUUUGGGGAAAGAUUUAUCGGAGAAGGAUCGGCCCGCGUUGGAUUGGGUAGUUGGUGGGGUAAUGGCCCACCAAGCCGACGAUCCAUAGCUGGUUGGGGAGGAUGAUCAGCCACACUGGGACUGAGACACGGCCCAGACUCCUACGGAGGGCAGCAGUGGGGAAUCUUAGACAAUGGGGGCAACCCUGAUCUAGCCAUGCCGCGUGAGUGAUGAAGGCCUUAGGGUUGUAAAGCUCUUUCAGCUGGGAAGAUAAUGACGGUACCGGCAGAAGAAGCCCCGGCUAACUCCGUG